Small nucleolar RNA from Cololabis saira (Pacific saury), 133 nucleotides. RefSeq annotates it as small nucleolar RNA SNORA31. NCBI's taxonomy places the organism in Eukaryota, Metazoa, Chordata, Actinopteri, Beloniformes, Belonidae. The record is from RefSeq and is a predicted model, not a curated record. The transcript has a single exon.
AUGCAUCCACUGAUAGACCUGAAGCUGGCUUCAUUAGCUUCUGGGUUUGCAUAGAGAUGCUAAACUGAGCAUUCCUUGUGCUUUCUGACUGCUCCAAUUUAUAGCAGCACAGAUUGAAUUGGGGAAAACAUGA